This 536-nucleotide ribosomal RNA is filed under the name Talaromyces funiculosus. RNAcentral's name for it is "eukaryotic LSU rRNA". The stretch from base 174 to 536 matches the Rfam family "Eukaryotic large subunit ribosomal RNA", at positions 1 to 360 of the family's 3401-position model. The record is from RNAcentral. Lineage: Eukaryota; Fungi; Ascomycota; Eurotiomycetes; Eurotiales; Trichocomaceae.
UCCGAGCGUCAUUUCUGCCCUCAAGCACGGCUUGUGUGUUGGGUGCGGUCCCCCCGGGGGCCUGCCCGAAAGGCAGCGGCGACGUCCGUCUGGUCCUCGAGCGUAUGGGGCUUUGUCACUCGCUCGGGAAGGACUGGCGGGGGUUGGUCACCACCACAAAAUUUUACCACGGUUGACCUCGGAUCAGGUAGGAGUUACCCGCUGAACUUAAGCAUAUCAAUAAGCGGAGGAAAAGAAACCAACCGGGAUUGCCUCAGUAACGGCGAGUGAAGCGGCAAGAGCUCAAAUUUGAAAUCUGGCCCCCUCGGGGUCCGAGUUGUAAUUUGCAGAGGAUGCUUCGGGAGCGGUCCCCAUCUAAGUGCCCUGGAACGGGCCGUCAUAGAGGGUGAGAAUCCCGUCUGGGAUGGGCGGCCGCGCCCGUGUGAAGCUCCUUCGACGAGUCGAGUUGUUUGGGAAUGCAGCUCUAAGCGGGUGGUAAAUUUCAUCUAAAGCUAAAUACUGGCCGGAGACCGAUAGCGCACAAGUAGAGUGAUCGA